Molecule: ribosomal RNA, 246 nt
Filed under: uncultured bacterium
Lineage: Bacteria
Description: partial 16S ribosomal RNA
Rfam family: Bacterial small subunit ribosomal RNA
Source: RNAcentral
GGGCGUAAAGACGCAUGCAGGUGGUUUGUUAAGUCUAGAUGUGAAAGACCCGGGGCGUCAACCUCGGAAUAGCAUUUGAAACUGGCAGACUAGAGUACUGUAGAGGGGGGUAGGAAGUUUCAGGUGUAGCGGUGAAAUGCGUAGAGAUCUGAAGGAAUACCGGUGGCGAAGGCGGCCCCCUCGGACAGAUACUGACACUCAGAUGCGAAAGCGUGGGGAGCAAACAGGAUUAGAUACCCCUGGUAG